GAUGAACACUGGCGGCGUGCCUAAUACAUGCAAGUCGAGCGAACGGACGAGAAGCUUGCUUCUCUGAUGUUAGCGGCGGACGGGUGAGUAACACGUGGAUAACCUACCUAUAAGACUGGGAUAACUUCGGGAAACCGGAGCUAAUACCGGAUAAUAUUUUGAACCGCAUGGUUCAAAAGUGAAAGACGGUCUUGCUGUCACUUAUAGAUGGAUCCGCGCUGCAUUAGCUAGUUGGUAAGGUAACGGCUUACCAAGGCAACGAUGCAUAGCCGACCUGAGAGGGUGAUCGGCCACACUGGAACUGAGACACGGUCCAGACUCCUACGUGAGGCAGCAGUAGGGAAUCUUCCGCAAUGGGCGAAAGCCUGACGGAGCAACGCCGCGUGAGUGAUGAAGGUCUUCGGAUCGUAAAACUCUGUUAUUAGGGAAGAACAUAUGUGUAAGUAACUGUGCACAUCUUGACGGUACCUAAUCAGAAAGCCACGGCUAACUACGUG
RNAcentral lists this ribosomal RNA (497 nucleotides) under uncultured bacterium. RNAcentral's name for it is "partial 16S ribosomal RNA". It matches the Rfam family "Bacterial small subunit ribosomal RNA", at positions 28 to 507 of the family's 1533-position model. The record is from RNAcentral.